CGGGUGAGUAACGCGUGAGGAACCUGCCUCAAAGAGGGGGACAACAGUUGGAAACGACUGCUAAUACCGCAUAAGCCCACAGGUCGGCAUCGACCAGAGGGAAAAGGAGCAAUCCGCUUUGAGAUGGCCUCGCGUCCGAUUAGCUAGUUGGUGAGGUAAUGGCCCACCAAGGCAACGAUCGGUAGCCGGACUGAGAGGUUGAACGGCCACAUUGGGGCUGAGACACGGCCCAG
Molecule: ribosomal RNA, 233 nt
Filed under: uncultured bacterium
Lineage: Bacteria
Description: partial 16S ribosomal RNA
Rfam family: Bacterial small subunit ribosomal RNA
Source: RNAcentral